This is a long non-coding RNA of Chelonia mydas (Green sea turtle), 7123 nucleotides long. RefSeq lists it as uncharacterized. NCBI's taxonomy places the organism in Eukaryota, Metazoa, Chordata, Testudines, Cheloniidae. The transcript has 3 exons. The record is from RefSeq and is a predicted model, not a curated record.
UACCUGAUAAAUUUGUUCACCCCUUGGGAUAGCUACCUCCAUAUACGUGGUGUGUAUAAUAUAUACAUCCACAUCUCUAUAGUGUGUGCACAAUACAUAUAACAUGUAUGUGUAUGAUUAUAAAAAAGAAGAAGAAAUACAGCUGAGCAGGCCUGCAGCAAAUGCUGUUUUUGUCUUCUUCUUUCUUGGAAAGGCUGCUCAGAAGAAAUUAAUAAUUAAUCUCACUCCAACAGCUGGUGAUUGCAGACUGUCUCCCCAUGCACAGUGCUUAGUCUCCAGCUUUUGUUUUAGAAUUCUGUAGUCACUUCAGCUGGAGUAGCCCUCAGGCCUUACAUUGCAAAGCAACCUCUGUAUCUCCUGGAUUAUCUGUUUGUCACUGCCCAAGGCCUGUUGAUUAUCACUUCAUCAAGCAAAAUGAGCACCCAAAUGUGUGAUGAGCUCAUACAGUACAAGUAAGAAGUGACGGGGACAGAUGCUCAGUUGGCAUGGAGUACUCUAGUUCCAUUGACUUCAGCUGGGGAUCUGUCCCAGCGUAACCCUGACUGAGGAUGCUUUACAUUCUAAUUUCAGGCACGAUGCAACAAAGGGAUGGGAUCAGGCAGAUGAGCAAAAGAUCAGGAUCACUUCAGGUCGAGGCACCCUUGAAUGGUCCACAGGCCAGAGUAAAACAAACUGGAGCUUGACAAGCACACAGGAACUUGGCAGCCUGCAACACAUACAACAUGGAGCAACAAAUUGUCUGCACCAAGAGCCAUCUGGAAGACAGGCAUAACGUUGCCGAUUUUGGAGAGGCAGAUUGCAGUGCACCAUGAGGAGAAAUGAAAAGAAAGCAGAAGAAAAAAGUAAAAACAGAACAAACAUAAGAUGGCAUCAGCAAUGUUUCAGGCCUUGCUGGUUUCUCCUGUGCCCCUGAAUGCAGAGGAGAUCAAGGACACUGUGGAGCUUAUGCCUUCUUCAGGGAAUGAAUCCCUAAGGUAAGACCUUUGCCACAUUUCCAUUUGGGAAGGGUGCUCUACAGCUGGGUCACUCUUCUUAAUCUCUCCAUUGACUGACCAUGUCAGGCUUCGGAAAAUGGGUUUGAUAUCAUUAGGAUACUUUGGUUUCACCCAGAAUGGCUGUUCUUAUGUUCUUAGUUUACCUUUCUGUGUUAAUCCUCUCAGUACCUACACCUGGGAUCUUCCCUUUCUCAGUAGCACAUUGCUCUGUCCCAACCAGCCAUAAAGUUAAAUGCUACAUUUUUAGUCAUAACCUUUUUGGCCACCUGGGGUGCUCAGUCAGUGAAGAGUAUAGUGCAUGCUUAUUCAUAACUACAUAAGUGAAAAUAAUCAAGGUGAUAAAGGGCAGAGCAAUAUGAUGCAUUUACCGCUUGUUAAUUAUAUGGUCAUACAAAACUCUUGUCAGAACAUCUUACUAUUCUGGGCAAUUGAUACAAGUUAGAACAGCCCUCAGCCUGUUCUAACUUAUGCCAGGGAAUGAUCAGGUGUGGACAAGCCCCUGGAUUGUGGGGUAGCUUAUCAUUCAAAUUACAAACUUCUAGAGGCAAUAACCCUAUCAUUAAUGUACUGCUGAUUGUUUUCCACACAUAACUAGAGUGACUUGAAAAUGAAUUACAGUGCUAAUAAUCGUUUUGCAGCAAUAUUUUGCCAUUUCAAAAUGUUUUAAAAAGCCAAAACAUAGGGUAAAUAAGCACCAGUAUAAGAAAUCAAGUGAAAACUAAUCUAAAGAACAUUUGAUUUUUAAAGUAUUAUUUAUGUUCCAGAUUCUAGUUAUGGACUUUUUCUUAAUUUCCCAAUUUACGGCCAUUUCCAUCAUCUCCUCUGCAAUCUCUCACUUUCUGGCUAAGUCGUCUCAGAGAAAGACACACAUCUAUGCACUUCCUACUGCUUGGUGGCCAAUAACUACACAAACUGCCCUUUGAAUGAGAUUGUAGAGGGAAGACAAUUGUUGAGCUCUCCUAAGUGAAAAUGCCACCCGCAGCAGUAAGGUGCUGACAGGCAAUUACAAUCUGGCAAGAUUUACAGCUCUGGCAUUCUGCCCUAGCUGCAAAAUGUCCAGUAACAGUGUAAGCUCAGUGGGGGUAAAGACAUAUCCACCAAAGAAAUUUGUGUUCAGAUUUAUUAAAAACACCUUGUAAACUAUACUACCAUUAUGGGUGAAAUCUUGUCCUCAUUGAAAGUAAUGGGAAUGUUGGCAUUGAUUUCAAUGGGGAUAUCACCUUAUAAAACUAGCUAUCACAUCUGCAACUGUCUCAUCUUUCUAAUUUUGGCACUACUGCAGGUUUGGACCAUCACAGGAAAUUUGGGUUGGCUGAAUUAUUUAUUGCAAAUAAUAGUACAUGCUAAUUUACAACCCCCACCCGCACCCUCCCGUUGUCAAAUGCCUCCUAAGAUGAUUCUAAUUUCUGCAAGGGUAUUCAGUAUUCACAAGGAUUAUGCAAACAAAUUUCAAGGUAUGGGUUGUUCUUGAACGGUUCACAUUUACUAUUUGCUGUUCAUGGUGUGUGAUUGGUCAACGAGGUCACAUGAUACUGUUUCUGCUCCCUGAUUUCAGGAAUUAAACAUUCUGAACAGCAGAAUGAUGAAUAACACAUAAUUUUUUUGGAUGAGCUAUCAUGAGUGGGUGACCAUCCAAAUAAUACUAUCCCAGAGGAUUAACGGCAAAUACGUUGCAGUGCUUGUAUUUGCAUGAUAUUUGCUAAUCAUUUUUUCAUUAUUCAACACAAGAAACAGUAUAUACUAGGUAAAUAAAUUUAAAAAGUAUCAGAAAAUAAAUCCAAAGGUAUCAGAAAAACCAGAACAACAGGUUCCAUAUCUUUUAAGAAAUUUUUGCUUAUAGCCUUCUUUGAUCACUCUUCUCAUACUGAGUAGUAAGUAAUGAGUAGUCCUAUUGAUUUGGGCCAAAAAAUACUACCUUAACAUGAGUAAGGGUGGCAGAACCAAUUCAGUGUAGCCAACUCUCACAAUUUUAUUUUGAGUCUCACACUAUUUGACAUUUUUCUUAAAGCCCCAGCUCUGGGAGACCUGAGAUUUUGUGAGAAUCUCAGGUUUUGCGUUUUCUACCCCCCCCCCCCCCCCCCCCCACAUUGUUUUAGUGCUUGUGGCUAAGGAGGAAAGCUUGAAAAUGUGACCCUAGUGCACAGCAAAACAGAAGGCAAAUAAAAAAACCCCCAAAUUUAUAAUUUCUAAAAAAAACUCAUGAUUUUUGGUGGUCUGCCUCAUGAUUUUUGAAAGCUUGAAGGCAGCAGUAUUGAAAUCCAGCCUUUAAUUUGGAAAUCCUUCACUCAGAGCAGGAGGGAAAAUGGAUUCUUCCUUGUCACAAGUUAUACAGCUUUAAAGUAGGUACAUGGUUAACAACAAUGCUUUCUAAAAAUAAUCAUAUCACAGGGACGGUGACAAAUUAAUAUGUCAAACAGUGUACAAAUAACACAGAGAUGAUAUAUAAAAUUGCCUUUAUACAAAUUAACAAAAUAGCCAGUUUUCUUUGCAAUUCCAUUUCCCAUUCUGUUGUAUUGCAAAGUGUAUAAAAUAAGCACAUCAAAUGCUAUCAGAGGAAACUGCCUUCCCCAGCCUUCUCUUACAGAUUUCUAAGGUUGAUUUGCAUAUUUGUACUAAUGUGUAUGAAUCAGUAAGCUUCAGCUAUAUUUUAAUUGCAUUAAAGAAAAUUCUACCAUAUGUGGGAUUAAAAUGCCCACUUUCUCUGUCCUAUGUUAUUUUUUGCACCAUCCUUAUGGCUUGGCUUAUCAUUUUCCACAGUCAAACACAUGAAUUACUUUAAUGUACCAUUUGGAGUAGUACUUAUUCAUUCCUUCUUUUUAAAAAUAAUUUUCUUCAAUAGCUACAUGUGUUCGCCACAUAUGAUUAAACUAAAAGCUAGAAACUGGUCUUUGGUGUUCAUUUCUACCCGGUUACUAGGGAAGUAAAGGUUACCAAGGGAAGUGGUGUUUUAUCACACAUUCAGCAUUGCACAAAAAUAGCCUAAAUGUUUGCAUUACGGAAAGGCUCAACAAUUUUUUUCUGUAAAUUUAGUGCCAAAAGGAGCUAUUUUGGAUAUUGGGAGCGUAUGUUUUCUGUUCAAUAUAUAGAUCUUGCAGCUUGUAUGACAGUGAAAAAUCUUAUUUAAAACCCUAAAAUGAACAAUUUGCUUCAGAGCUUGAAGGCACCACUAAACAUUUCAUAACCUAGGCAGUUCUCUGAAGCUGAGCUGCAUUUCUGGUGGGGGUGGAGGUGGGGGAGGGGGAGACAGCACAUCAGACAUCAUGAAGACUUUGUCCCUGAGGGGGGCUGGGCUGAUGUGGCUGCACAGCAUGUGAGAUCAAAAACCAUAUGUGCUGCUCUGUUUCAAAUGACCUUUUUUUCAUAACCAGGUUUCUUGCCUGUAAUUUUUUUAGUGAAUUUAAUACUGGUGAAAGUUGCUAGAUUGACAGCGCUACAGCCUAAACCUAAACCUGUCUAUUAUUCACGGUACAACUCUAGAAGAGUAAGGAGCAUCACAGUAGGUCUGAUUCUCCCCUGCCUUGCACCUUGUGUGCUCACUUACACUUGUGCUACGUGAAUGUACGAUGCUACCAUAUUUAGAACUCUUUUUUCACACUGUGGGGAAUGUUUUGCAGCCACUGUGCACUCACUUUGCACUGAUAUAAAUAGCUUCACAUGGUGUAAAGCAAUGGAGAAUGGGGUCCGGUAUUCUUCAAAUCUGACCUGGAGGGAUCACCAUCAAAUACUGACAGGUUUCAUAGUAGCAGCCGUGUUAGUCUGUAUUCGCAAAAAGAAAAGGAGAACUUGCGGCACCUUAGAGACUAACGAAUUUAUUUGAGCAUAAGCUUUCGUGAGCCACAGCUCACUUCAUCAGAUGCUUUGCCUCUCUAUUGAGGAUCCUGACAAUAGGACUAAUUCACAUCAGUUGUGACAAAAUCACCUCCCUACUGGAGACUGGGCUGGAAACUCAUCAUAUACUGUAGGCCAUCAAACAGCUAGCAGAUGGUAACACUCUUUGAACAUUACUGACUUCUGGUGCAUUUGGACCAGUGACCUAGAAGGGAAAGGUUCUAUAUCCAAUUACCAUUUGCCUGAGCCAUCCUAUAUUCACCUACACACACACACACACAUUGAAUUACAAUUUAUCAAAGCUGCAAUCAGAUAGCUACAGGUUAAGUUCAUGAGGCAUCAAUCUAAAUGCAUGCCAUAAAAGGGAAUGUGAAGCUACUGGCCACAGUACCACAAAUACAUGAUAUUGGGCCAGCUCCUCAAGUGGUUUAAAUCAGCAUAGCUCAUUGACUUAAAUGGAGCUAUGCCAAUUUACACCGAGGAUCUGGUCCUCUGUGUCCAAUGCUCUAAUUCUUUUUAAAUAUAUUGCUCCGAUUUUCUUUGCAGAGAUGAACCACUGCAAGCAGAUGCUCACUGCCAUUCUAAUUGACCACCUCACAUACAAUGUAGACUGUAACACUCUUGAGUUUAGUCAUAUGCUACUUCCUGUGCUAGCUGAUUAAGAUCAGAAGCUAGGAGGUGAUUGUCUAAACUAUUUUUCAGACUCUAACUGGUUUCCUGUACCUUUUCUACAAUUCAGGAGGAAGAAAAUGAAAGCCUAAAAAUCUAACACUACAAGCAAAGAUAACUGACUUUAUUUUCUAAUGGACCACCCUAAACAUAAUGGAAUUAUCCUGAAGCAUUUUUGCCAACAGAUUUUCAGUGGAUUACAUCAGCAUUUCACUGAAUCCCAGUUCUUAGAAUAUGUAGACUUCCUUAUUCAACGCUUGAUCAUACAAGAUGUUGAAUGCCUUCAAUUUUCAUUGACUUCAGUGGGAGUUCAAGGCCACAGAGCAUCUUACAGGAUCGAGCCUUUAUUCUGUUGUAAGUAUUAAGCUAGAGGAAUCAAGUUGUGCGCUCAUGCUGGUGAGAAUUCAGUCAAGGACAGAAUUCAUCCUGCGAGGUGGUGAGUGCUCCCAGUAUCUUUUGAGUACAGACUAGGUGCACUCAGCAUCUUGCAGGAUUAGGCCCCUGAUCUAUACUCCUUACUCAGGGAAAAGGCGCAAUGAAAUCAAUGGAGUUACCCCCAGGGAUAAAUUUGUCUCUGUUGCAGUUAAUUCACAUAGCACCCAUGGGUACAAUUGAUCCUGAAUCAGGAAGAAGGUGCAGGACCAAGUCUUAGCCACUGAAUAAGCUAAGAUACUAGUGACCUUCACAGACCAUCCCCACAACACCCAUAUGAAGAAGUGUCAUUUCAGGCUGCUAUAUGCUUAGCGAUGAAAUCCUGAUGCCCCCUGCCUUUAAAAUGGGUCCAGAAUUUCACCCAGUGUCAUGUGACAGGGAUGGGAGAUGAAUGUGUACAUAACAAAGCAGGUUAUGUGAAAUGGCAUGCUACUGUCUGAUGGUUUACAAGAUAGUUUUGUCCCAUCAUGAUUUUUAUUUUUUAAACUAACAUGGAUUUUAUCCCCAAAGUAUUAAUUUUAAAUUUUACGAACAAGAUUCUAGGUCAGAUCAUCAUACAGUGACUAAUAAGAAAGACAUUACCCAAUGAAUCUCUGAACAGAUCCAAACCAUAUUUAAUUCUGCAGAACUUCAUUUGCACAGAAUACCCUUUAUUAAACGAUCAUUAAUAGUUUUACUUUUAGCACAGCACAAAGAAUGAGCGGUCAACAAUACGCAAAAGACUGGCUACCCUGGUUGCUGUCUUAAUGUAUUUAUUCUAAAAUUUUUAGGUUCAGUCUAUUAUUGUACCGCCUACUAAACUGAAAUGCAGAUUAAUUACAUAUUUGCAUGAAGAAAGUGCAGUUCAAGGGUGAAGAUACAGAAUGGUUUCUACAAAAGGAAAUGUUUUAAAAAAAUACAAAACUGCUGAUUUACCUCAAAUUUGAAAAAUAUGUAUUAGAACUAAACAUAUUUACAGGAAAGCAAACAAAGUUAGCUGUGAUGCAUAUAAAUAUGAAUGAAAAGAAAUCUAUUUUAAGUGUUGUAGGACUGAAAUUGGCAAGAGCAUAUAUCAAGAGCCAAAAACUUUUUUUUUUUAAAUAAUCUCCAAAGGUCUCCUAGCAUCCCACAUGUUAACACAGGCACUUACGCUUCAUCCUGUGAGAUCACUGUCCAAAAGAUAGCACAUCAAUACCAUCCAGGUUUUAAAACAUUUUAUU